Molecule: unclassified non-coding RNA, 23 nt
Filed under: Mus musculus (house mouse)
Lineage: Eukaryota; Metazoa; Chordata; Mammalia; Rodentia; Muridae
Description: oocyte_clustered_small_RNA13323
Source: RNAcentral
UGAAGUCACUGGAGUUUGAGUGA